Molecule: ribosomal RNA, 431 nt
Filed under: uncultured bacterium
Lineage: Bacteria
Description: bacterial SSU rRNA
Rfam family: Bacterial small subunit ribosomal RNA
Source: RNAcentral
AUUGAACGCUGGCGGCAUGCCUUACACAUGCAAGUCGAACGGCAGCACGGGAGCAAUCCUGGUGGCGAGUGGCGAACGGGUGAGUAAUAUAUCGGAACGUGCCCGGUCGUGGGGGAUAACGUAGCGAAAGCUACGCUAAUACCGCAUACGAUCUACGGAUGAAAGCGGGGGGAUCGCAAGACCUCGCGCGAUUGGAGCGGCCGAUAUCAGAUUAGGUAGUUGGUGAGGUAAAGGCUCACCAAGCCGACGAUCUGUAGCUGGUCUGAGAGGACGACCAGCCACACUGGGACUGAGACACGGCCCAGACUCCUACGGGAGGCAGCAGUGGGGAAUUUUGGACAAUGGGCGCAAGCCUGAUCCAGCAAUGCCGCGUGCAGGAUGAAGGCCUCGGUUGUAACUAGUCUUUGUUACGGUAACGGAAACGGUACGAG